UGAUUCAUCCGAGGUCCAUGUUUUUAAAGAUGUGAUUUCACUGGUCUGAGAGAUGAUUCAUCCGAGGUCCAUGUUUUUAAAGAUGUGAUUUCACUGGUCUGAGAGAUGAUUCAUCCGAGGUCCAUGUUUUUAAAGAUGUGAUUUCACUGGUCUGAGAGAUGAUUCAUCCGAGGUCCAUGUUUUUAAAGAUGUGAUUUCACUGGUCUGAGAGAUGAUUCAUCCGAGGUCCAUGUUUUUAAAGAUGUGAUUUCACUGGUCUGAGAGAUGAUUCAUCCGAGGUCCAUGUUUUUAAAGAUGUGAUUUCACUGGUCUGAGAGAUGAUUCAUCUGAGGUCCAUGUUUUUAAAGUCUUACAUUUCCUCUAGCUCUACUGGAAUCUGAGUUUGAGUCUUACACACACGAGAGGUGUGUGUGUGUGUGUGUGUGUGUGUGUGUGUGUGUGUGUGUGUGUGUGUGUGUGUGUGUGUGUGUGUGUGUGUGUGUGUGUGUGUGAGAGAAUACCCCCGUCAAUGUUAUCAAUAUUGCCUAACUGAAAGGUGAUCUAGAAGUUGUUUUACUUCCUUGCUUGUGUGUUUCUACAGAUACAAGUAUGAUGAUCCGUAAUUUAUAAAGAACCAAGAUCAUGUUGUGUACUGCCAAUUACGAGUCACUUUGGAUAGUAGGGGAAAUGAAUGUCCUUAAUAAUAAUACUGCUUAGUAAUGUGAGGUUGGUUCUAACUUGUAUCUACGGCUUUCCGUCUGUUUUUAUUUAGUCUGUAGCAGCACACAGCAAGGAUGAUUUCAUUGUGCCGUUGUAUUUAGUAGACCGUCAGAUGUAGAGACCUAAAAGACGCAUGAAACUGCUGCCUUAGAGAAAUCAGCUUUUAUAGGAAUAAAUGUUUUUCAAACAA
This is a long non-coding RNA of Oncorhynchus gorbuscha (pink salmon), 889 nucleotides long. RefSeq lists it as uncharacterized. The record is from RefSeq and is a predicted model, not a curated record. The transcript has 2 exons. Lineage: Eukaryota; Metazoa; Chordata; Actinopteri; Salmoniformes; Salmonidae.